AUUCACUUGACUGCACUUAUACUAAAACUGGAAGGCUACACAGAAGGUUAGUGUGACCCCUGUACAAUGAUGACACACAAAUCCAUGAAGUAAUCCAUUUUUUC
This is a small nuclear RNA of Mastomys coucha (southern multimammate mouse), 104 nucleotides long. Lineage: Eukaryota; Metazoa; Chordata; Mammalia; Rodentia; Muridae. The record is from RefSeq and is a predicted model, not a curated record.